GCCAGCCCGCUCAGAAACUCAAAGGAAUUGACGGGGCCCGCACAAGCGGAGGAGCAUGUGGUUUAAUUCGAUGAUACGCGAGGAACCUUACCUGGGCUCGAACGUAAGAUGACUGUAGGUGAAAGCUUACAUCUCUUCGGAGCAUUUUACGAGGUGCUGCAUGGUUGUCGUCAGCUCGUGCCGUGAGGUGUCGGGUUAAGUCCCAUAACGAGCGCAACCCCUACCUUUAGUUGCCAUCAGGUUAAGCUGGGGACUCUAAAGGAACUGCCUACGCAAGUAGUGAGGAAGCGGGGAUGACGUCAAAUCAGCACGGCCCUUACGUCCAGGGCUACACACGUGCUACAAUGGCCGAUACAGAGGGCAGCUACCUGGUGACAGGAUGCAAAUCUCCAAAGUCGGUCUCAGUUCGGAUCGGAGUCUGCAACCCGACUCCGUGAAGUUGGAUUCGCUAGUAAUCGCGCAUCAGCCAUGGCGCGGUGAAUACGUUCCCGGGCCUU
Molecule: ribosomal RNA, 497 nt
Filed under: uncultured Sphingobacteriales bacterium
Lineage: Bacteria; Pseudomonadati; Bacteroidota; Sphingobacteriia; Sphingobacteriales
Description: bacterial SSU rRNA
Rfam family: Bacterial small subunit ribosomal RNA
Source: RNAcentral